RNAcentral lists this ribosomal RNA (433 nucleotides) under uncultured bacterium. RNAcentral describes it as "partial 16S ribosomal RNA". It matches the Rfam family "Bacterial small subunit ribosomal RNA", at positions 29 to 507 of the family's 1533-position model. The record is from RNAcentral.
AACGAACGCUGGCGGCAUGCCUAACACAUGCAAGUCGAACGAGACCUUCGGUUCUAGUGGCGCACGGGUGCGUAACGCGUGGGAACCUGCCCUUAGGUUCGGAAUCACUCCCCGCAGGGUGUGCUAAUACCGGAUAAUGUCUUCGGACCAAAGAUGUAUCGCCUUUGGAUGGGCCCGCGUUGGAUUAGCUAGUUGGUAGGGUAAAAGCCUACCAAGGCGACGAUCCAUAGCUGGUCUGAGAGGAUGAUCAGCCACACUGGGACUGAGACACGGCCCAGACUCCUACGGGAGGCAGCAGUAGGGAAUAUUGGACAAUGGGCGAAAGCCUGAUCCAGCAAUGCCGCGUGAGUGAUGAAGGCCUUAGGGUUGUAAAGCUCUUUGACCCGGGAUGAUAAUGACAGUACCGGGAGAAUAAGCACCGGCUAACUCCGUG